CGGGGCUGCCCUAAAUCCCCACCGCAGCCCCCGGAUCCCGACCUCCUGCUGCCCCGGCCGAGCUCGCCUGCCGGGCUCCCUGCUUUCCACCGAGGAGGUAGCAGGGGGGUGAGAAAAAAAGGACUACGAGGAAAUCUACUUCCCGGCGAGAGAGCCUUGAGUUCUGCAUUUCAACCUCAGGGCAACGUGGGCAGGGCCGGGCUGGGCCGGGAGCCGCAGCCCCCCGCUCCCGAGCCCGCCCCCGGGGGCGGCCCGGCGGCCCUGCAGCCCCACCAGUGGCCGCAGGAGAUGACGGACAGCGCGGGGCCGGCGGCUCUUCCGCUGCCUCUCGCGGUCCUGCUCAGCACCUGGUCCCUACCACAACAGCAACGCCCGCGUAAUACCUGCCAGGCGACUCCCAAAGACCCAGGUCCUGUAAGGGAAUUAAAACGUGAAAGGGAAUAACACUGUGACGGCAGCGCAUGGAAUAUCGGCGAGUGAAAUACGGAUCUCUGGUCACUAUGUUCGUCUGCCUUUGAGGACACAAACCUGGAAACUUCCCACUGAUCUGUGGACAAACAAUGCCUUCCAGCCAGCCACAGUGCAUUCAAGUGUCUGGAAGUCCUCUCAGACACAGUGCUGUGUUAAAGCCACCAGAUGAUCUGCUGAGACUUGAGUGAAGCUUUUCUGGGGACAGCUUCCACUGGCUGCAGGCUGUCACCAUUGAAUACAAUGGAUGCAGAGAGAGGGAAAACCUUUGUCUGCAAAGCACAAACAGGGAGUGCCCCAGAAGGCUGCCUCUCUGCUUCUUGCUGAAACUCCGUGUUGCUGCCAUGCCCUGGUGAUGUCAUGCCCUGGUGGUGCCAUGCACUGAUGGCUCCAGCUGUGGGCAGAACUCAGUUGUCCCAGCUGAUCCCAGCUGUCAGCGAACUGGGAGCUGCUGGCACACCUUGCAUUUCCCACACACUGCCCAGCGCCUGCACAGUCAAGCCCGGGUUUCUGAGUAUUCUCAUUCUGGGCUUAAUUGCCCUUUCGUGCAUCAAGUAAUGUCUUACUUGGCAGUAAUUCUCAUUCAGUCUUAGUCAUGAGGAUGGAAUUAGUCCUACAGCAGUAGAGAUAAUAGCUCUUCAGCCUAAGUCCUUUCCAACACUCCAACACUCCCUGUACUCUCUCCUCAUGACAAAAGCAAACAGAAGUUCCCAGGAAAGCAACAGCCAGUUCAGAGGGACCUGUCUCCUCACUGAUUUGACAGAGAGCACAGGAUUGUGCCAGGGAGUGCUUGCUCCAGGACCGUAGAUAGAGCUAAAGCCUAUCUUGUUGAUAUACUGAAGUACUAGGAAUCAUAGAAAGAUAGAAUGGCUUAGUUUGGAAGGGACCUUAAGAAUCAUCCGCUUCUAACCCCCUUGCCCCCCACCAGAUCAGGCUGCCCAGGGCCCCAUUGAACCUGGCCUUGAACACCUCCAGGAAUGGGACACUGAAGACACUGACUUUUAUGCAACGGAGAACUAAACACUU
This 1494-nucleotide long non-coding RNA is filed under the name Numida meleagris (helmeted guineafowl). RNAcentral's name for it is "lncRNA (ENSNMEG00000022329.1)". The record is from RNAcentral. Lineage: Eukaryota; Metazoa; Chordata; Aves; Galliformes; Numididae.